Molecule: ribosomal RNA, 468 nt
Filed under: uncultured bacterium
Lineage: Bacteria
Description: partial 16S ribosomal RNA
Rfam family: Bacterial small subunit ribosomal RNA
Source: RNAcentral
GACGAACGCUGGCGGCGUGCUUAACACAUGCAAGUCGAACGGAAAGGCCCUGCUUUUGUGGGGUGCCCGAGUGGCGAACGGGUGAGUAACACGUGGGUAACCUGCCCUUGACUUUGGGAUAACUUCAGGAAACUGGGGCUAAUACCGGAUAGGAGCUCCUGUUGCAUGGUGGGGGUUGGAAAGUUUCGGCGGUUGGGGAUGGACUCGCGGCUUAUCAGCUUGUUGGUGGGGUAGUGGCUUACCAAGGCUUUGACGGGUAGCCGGCCUGAGAGGGUGACCGGCCACAUUGGGACUGAGAUACGGCCCAGACUCCUACGGGAGGCAGCAGUGGGGAAUAUUGCACAAUGGGCGGAAGCCUGAUGCAGCAACGCCGCGUGCGGGAUGACGGCCUUCGGGUUGUAAACCGCUUUCGCCUGUGACGAAGCGUGAGUGACGGUAAUGGGUAAAGAAGCACCGGCUAACUACGUG